GCCGAUGUGGUGGAAUGGCAGACACGGUGGACUCAAAAUCCACUUUUGGCAACAAAGUGCGGGUUCAAGUCCCGCCAUCGGCACCA
This 86-nucleotide transfer RNA is filed under the name Ruminococcus flavefaciens. It matches the Rfam family "tRNA". From Rfam's summary of the family: Transfer RNA (tRNA) molecules are approximately 80 nucleotides in length. Their secondary structure includes four short double-helical elements and three loops (D, anti-codon, and T loops). Lineage: Bacteria; Bacillati; Bacillota; Clostridia; Eubacteriales; Oscillospiraceae. RNAcentral also lists the same sequence under 1 other name. The record is from RNAcentral.